This is a long non-coding RNA of Peromyscus eremicus (cactus mouse), 716 nucleotides long. RefSeq lists it as uncharacterized. The record is from RefSeq and is a predicted model, not a curated record. The transcript is spliced from 3 exons. Lineage: Eukaryota; Metazoa; Chordata; Mammalia; Rodentia; Cricetidae.
UAUAAGGACAUUUUUUUUUCACUCACAGAGUGUCAUCAGAGCAAAUUUGUGGUCUCUUAAUAUUCUCUAGUGGACUGUAAAUUUUGAACAUGUCCCUAUCAAAGGGAAAAUGGGACAUCAGGAAGUGUUAGGAAUGCGUAGUUUCCAGUUAGAAUGGAGUCAAUGUGACAUUUUGUAUGAUACACUAUGUUCUCUGCUCAAAGAUGUUCCUGGGACAUAAAAAGAAACUUUGUCAACUUUUAUGCCAAGUUAUGAACAAGGGAGAAACUGGCACAGCUUAAGCUGGAUCUACCUUCCCAAGGGGUGGUCCUUUGGCCACAUGAUUGACUGGCCCAACUGAAUUAACUCUAAAGGGAGGAGACAAUGACAUGUCUCCACCAUGAGGCUCACAAUUUGGAUGGUUUAAGAAGACACAUACUCCCUGUCACUGCUGUCUAGAAUGUUCACCAGAGGCCCAAGCUAUGGACUGCUCAAUCUAGGACUGAUGACUCCAGAACUUAACAUAAUUUUAUCUUCUUUCUUUAUAAAUUAGUUUACUCCACUAUUUUGUUAAUAGUAGUGUGGAGCUGAGUAACACAGAAAGAAAUUUGGAGGUUGAGAUGAUUUGUUGAAGUUAAGCUGAGGUUUCCUGGGAGGCUCAGAAGCUUGUAUGGAAUUUAAGAUUCAAUUUUUUGCUGGACACAGUGGGACUCAAUUAAUAAACCACCUUUAACUGA